AUUGAACGCUGGCGGCAUGCUUUACACAUGCAAGUCGAACGGCAGCGGGGAGGAGCUUGCUUCUCUGCCGGCGAGUGGCGAACGGGUGAGUAAUACAUCGGAACGUGUCGAGAAGAGGGGGAUAACCACCCGAAAGGGUGGCUAAUACCGCAUAAAUUCUGAGGAAGAAAGCUGGGGACCUAGGAAUAGGCCUAGCGCUUUUUGAGCGGCCGAUGUCGGAUUAGCUAGUUGGUGAGGUAAAGGCUCACCAAGGCGAAGAUCUGUAGCGGGUCUGAGAGGAUGAUCCGCCACGCUGGGACUUAGACACGGCCCAGACUCCCACGGGAGGCAGCAGUGGGGAAUUUUGGACAAUGGGGGCAACCCUGAUCCAGCCAUGCCGCGUGUAGGAAGAAGGCCUUAGGGUUGUAAAGUACUUUUGUUAGGGAAGAAAAGUCAGCUGUGAAUAAUGGCUGAUACUGAGGGUACCUAAAGAAUAAGCACCGGCUAGCUACGUG
This 494-nucleotide ribosomal RNA is filed under the name uncultured bacterium. Its description in RNAcentral is "partial 16S ribosomal RNA". It matches the Rfam family "Bacterial small subunit ribosomal RNA", at positions 30 to 507 of the family's 1533-position model. The record is from RNAcentral.